UACAAGAUGGUUGAAAUAAACAAUAAACUGUAAAUUUAUAUAUGGGUAUUUACCCUCUUGUGU
RNAcentral lists this transfer RNA (63 nucleotides) under Amynthas redactus. Its description in RNAcentral is "Amynthas sp. 1 LZ-2016 tRNA-Tyr". Lineage: Eukaryota; Metazoa; Annelida; Clitellata; Crassiclitellata; Megascolecidae. The record is from RNAcentral.